GUGGGGAAUCUUGCGCAAUGGGCGAAAGCCUGACGCAGCCAUGCCGCGUGAAUGAUGAAGGUCUUAGGAUUGUAAAAUUCUUUCACCGGGGACGAUAAUGACGGUACCCGGAGAAGAAGCCCCGGCUAACUUCGUGCCAGCAGCCGCGGUAAUACGAAGGGGGCUAGCGUUGCUCGGAAUUACUUGGCGGAAAGGGCGCGUAGGCGGACCGUUUAGUCAGAGGUGAAAGCCCAGGGCUCAACCUUGGAAUUGCCUUUGUUCCUGGCUGUCUUGAGUGCGGGAGAGGUGAGUGGAACUCCGAGUGUAGAGAUGAAAUUCGUAGAUAUUCGGAAGAACACCAGUGGCGAAGGCGACUCACUGGCCCGUUACUGACGCUGAGGCGCGAAAGCGUGGGGAGCAAACAGGAUUAGAAACCCUGGUAGUCC
Molecule: ribosomal RNA, 425 nt
Filed under: uncultured bacterium
Lineage: Bacteria
Description: partial 16S ribosomal RNA
Rfam family: Bacterial small subunit ribosomal RNA
Source: RNAcentral